This 514-nucleotide long non-coding RNA is filed under the name Panax ginseng (ginseng). RNAcentral's name for it is "long non-coding RNA (PGIN_LNC010075)". The record is from RNAcentral. Lineage: Eukaryota; Viridiplantae; Streptophyta; Magnoliopsida; Apiales; Araliaceae.
GAUUAUCAACAUGUUAGCUUAGAUAUAUAUUCUGUUCAUUGAUUUCUAAAUGGUUAUAAAAGUGUCCCCACUUGGAUAAUCAUGACAUUUAUUCACAUGUUGAUACAUUUUUUUCAAUUACCCGUAUACAUAUAUGUUGAAUUACAUAUUAUUGUUGAGCAAGAUUAAAAACCUUCGGGUUUGGAACCAGGCAUGUAUGAACAUCCCUAUAUGGGAAAAUUUUUGCGCCCGAGGCGGACAGAAUAAAACGAUGAAUUUCGUUCAGAGUUAUGUAGUAUUGAUCAAUACAGGGUACAACGGGGCUAAUCACCCUCCGUACCCGUAAGCUAGAACGGUUUGCGGAUGGAUUUCUGCCAAACCUUUUUGAAAAUGAAAAAUAAUGUUCAUUGUAUGUUUCUUAAACCCUAUUCAUGGGUAGAGCCAGAGCCAAAUUUAAAUAAUUUGGAAGAGAGUUGUUAUGUGAAUUUUUUAUCAAUACAGAUUACUUCACAACUUUCGAUUCGUUGUAGAAGUG